Long non-coding RNA from Capsicum annuum, 1819 nucleotides. RefSeq lists it as uncharacterized. The record is from RefSeq and is a predicted model, not a curated record. The transcript is spliced from 3 exons. Lineage: Eukaryota; Viridiplantae; Streptophyta; Magnoliopsida; Solanales; Solanaceae.
AAUAAAAUUAUUCAUGACUAACCAUACCUUAGCAAGUAUUAUUCCACUACAUAUUCAAAACAGCAAUUUAUGACCACUUAUACACUAAACUAACUUGACCACUAAUAACAAGAUAAAGUCCAUCUGGUUUAGCUUGCCAAAGACAUCUACCAUUGACCAUUGUAACAUGUAUUUGGUUCUUUUGAAGGAUCGAACACAACAAAAUUCCCAUGCAAAUUUCCAGAACUUAAUUCACAUGAUUCAUUUGGAUUAUCAACACUUGUAUCAACGGACAUAUUAAGUACAAAUCCACCAGCAUAAAAGUUAUCAACGAGUUCUGCUAAAACAUCUGUAUCCCCACCUACUUUCUGCAACAUGCUGUUGAACGCGGUCUUCAAAUGCUUUCUACCCUCUGGUUGACUCCAGAGAACGCUAAGGACAUGCGAGGAGUAGACAGGUGCAGGCUUAGCUACCAACUGCUGACCAUCUUCUUCAUAUCCGUUGAGACUUGGCACGUACAGAAUCAAAUCAGAAAAGAGCAUGAGGGAAGCAAAUGCCUAAGGGAAACCAAUAUCAGAUAAGCAAGCAACUACCUGUUUAUAAUCUCUAACAUUCUUGGCCAUUCAGCAAAUUUGUAAUGCACAUCCAUGAUGCCAGGAGUUCUCGUUACGAAUUGGCUAGUCUUUCCCAGUUCUUUGCAUAAGGGGAUCAUUUUUCUCAUUGUAAGGAAAUCCAUAUUUGACAUCCUUACAAUGGUUGUUCGUGGUGCAUCGAUUCUCAAGAUUGAUAGUUUCUCUCCAUGCAUGAUCAAUGCAUGCUUUUCAAUAGCAAUUUCUUUGCCCUCUACUGUCUGGGAGAAGAAGCGUUUCAUUGUAAAUAACUAAAACCUCAACUAGUCAAACUACAUGAUUGGUCAUUGGAUGAACUCAAAAGAGGAAAACAAGGAAACUUAUUCCAAUAAAAGCAAAUUACCUCAAAUUCCACAUAAGCAACGGAGCUUGACGAACCAAAGAAAAUUCCAGUUAUGUUGCUUAUGCAGAAGGCUAGAGCUUCUUCAAUGUCGCGAAAGGUCACAUUGUGCUUGAAUUCUUUUAUCAUAACUGUCCUUGAAGGAUGCUUUACUAACGAGGUGGGAACUUCUGGAUAACCAAUUAAAUCAGGUAUACACGUGGCCUCCAAAACUACCGUAUCCAUAAUCAUCACAUCAGAUCUUUUAAGAGCCUUUUGCCUUCCCUCUUGUGACUGCAAAAACCAAAAAAUGAUAAGUGGAAACGAAAUGUGAAACUGGCUGUUCAAAUCAUGAGCCUAUGCUUCCACCAUUUUGUAUCUCAAAAUGGAGACAUUUUAUUCACAGCAGCACAAAGUUGAUACUGAACAUAUCAUUUUGUGCAAGCCAUGUGAAGAAGGGACACAAAAGGGAAGUGCAUUGACGAACAUACUUCCAUAAGAAAAUCAAACCAUGACAUAUUAUCAGUUUUAGCCCCUCAAAUUGAACAUAGAGAGGGUGUAUUGUAAAUAGCAGAGCCCUAUUUUUGUACUAGUUACACAUUUUAAAAAGUAUUUAGUGUAAACUUGGUAUAACAUUAAAUAAAUUUCAUUGUUGCAUCUAUUCAUUAAACAACAGGGUAGUACAGCUAUACUUCCUUCAAGUUAAGGAACUAACUUCAGUCCCUACACUUCUCUCCAUCUCCUUGAACAAGCAAAACUAAGGUGCAGUUGAACCAGAUUUAUUUGCAGAAACUCUAUGUGAUGUCCUAGAUAUCUCAACUUGCAUUUGAUGUUCUACAAAACAUGCUUCCUCAGAUUUUGAAAGGAUCUCUUCUUCAGAACUGAUUUGUAC